AGAGCUCAUAGGCGGCUUGUUGCGUCUGCUGUGAAAUCCCGGGGCUCAACCCCGGGCGUGCAGUGGAUACGGGCAGGCUAGAGGCAGGCAGGGGAGAACGGAAUUCCCGGUGUAGCGGUGAAAUGCGCAGAUAUCGGGAGGAACACCGGUGGCGAAGGCGGUUCUCUGGGCCUGUUCUGACGCUGAGGAGCGAAAGCGUGGGGAGCGAACAGGAUUAGAUACCCUGGUAGUCCACGCCGUAAACGUUGGGCGCUAGGUGUGGGUCCCUUCCACGGGGUCCGUGCCGCAGCUAACGCAUUAAGCGCCCCGCCUGGGGAGUACGGCCGCAAGGCUAAAACUCAAGGGAAUUGACGG
Molecule: ribosomal RNA, 354 nt
Filed under: uncultured Actinomadura sp.
Lineage: Bacteria; Bacillati; Actinomycetota; Actinomycetes; Streptosporangiales; Thermomonosporaceae
Description: bacterial SSU rRNA
Rfam family: Bacterial small subunit ribosomal RNA
Source: RNAcentral